UACGGAGGGUGCGAGCGUUAUUCGGAAUUACUGGGCGUAAAGCGCGUGUAGGCGGCUUGACAAGUCUGAUGUGAAAGCCCUGGGCUCAACCUGGGAAGUGCCUUGGAAACUGUCAGGCUUGAGUACCGGAGAGGAUGGGGGAAUUCCCGGUGUAGAGGUGAAAUUCGUAGAGCUCGGGAGGAAUACCAGUGGCGAAGGCGCCCAUCUGGACGGUAAAUGACGCUGAGACGCGAAAGCGUGGGGAGCAAACAGG
Molecule: ribosomal RNA, 253 nt
Filed under: uncultured bacterium
Lineage: Bacteria
Description: partial 16S ribosomal RNA
Rfam family: Bacterial small subunit ribosomal RNA
Source: RNAcentral